CACGCUGUAAACGAUGAUUACUAGGUGUGGGGGGACUGACCCCUUCCGUGCCGGAGUUAACACAAUAAGUAAUCCACCUGGGGAGUACGGCCGCAAGGUUGAAACUCAAAGGAAUUGACG
This 120-nucleotide ribosomal RNA is filed under the name uncultured bacterium. RNAcentral's name for it is "partial 16S ribosomal RNA". It matches the Rfam family "Bacterial small subunit ribosomal RNA", at positions 796 to 915 of the family's 1533-position model. The record is from RNAcentral.